UCAAGUCCUUGAGUGGCAAGGAAAAGAGGGAAUGAAGACAAAUAGUCAUCCUGCAGUUGCAAUUAUUGAGGUUGUCAGGGAGCAAGAACAAUAACACUAGUUGUAUUGGAGCCGCCUUGAUGAGAGAACUGAUGUGAACAACACACACGACGGUCCCGACAACGCUGGCUAACCUCACUAAGUCAGUGGAAAUGUUGCUAAGCUAGCCCGCGACACCGUCAGUGGCUGUCUGAUCGCUCCGCCGUCGCCAUGUGACCGCGGUGUGUGUCAUCUAUCCGGGUGUAAGCAGAGAUUAUUACUGCUGUGAUGAGACAAAGGCUCCGGUUUCUCUCUGAAGGUUUGCGCUGCUCUUCGGAUGAUGACAUCCUUCCCAGCAGCCCCCUGAUUCAUCAUAAACUUACUGUAUGUUAGUCAUUACUCGCUCAUCCUUGACCUCAUUUGCUGCAGUUGCAUCAUUAAUUUAUUCUCAAUGACAGCACUGCAGCAGCGAUCUUUCUCACAUACUGCAAGAACAUUUCACAUGUGGCCUACUGUAGUAAUACGUGAACACACACAUUGAGCUCAUAUCCAGAAUAUUUGGUUUUUUUUAUUCUCAAAUUUACAAACCCAUUCUGCUCUCUUGUAGCUGACAUUUUAGAAAUGGUUUUAUAAAUUCACUUGUAACAACAGGUGUACUGAUGGGUGACAAAUUAAAGUAAAAGCUGACAUAAAUUUAGAAUUUAAAGUUAGGAGACCACUUCAUUCUUCCAAAAUAUAUUUCCUCACCUUGUGAUUUAAUGAUUUCAGCAGGGGGGGAGAACUGGGCCUGCUCAGCAUUGUUAUGCCUGUAAUAGAGCUAAAUGGGAUGUUCAUUGCUGAAUUGUACUGAAGAAUCUACAUUCAUUCUCAUUCAAGUUUUCCUUUAUUGUCAUCUUUCUGUGUAGUGUGUGCACUGAACUGCUGUGUUGUGUCAAUAAUCACAGUAUAGAGAAUCAAAUGGGUCACUGCUCUAAUGAAAGAUGCUAUUGAGUUGCAUUAUGGGAAAUGUAGGAUGUAGUAUUUUUGGAUUUUAACUUACACUUCACAAUAAUAAUAAUUAAUAAAUAAAUCACAAUAUUUAUUUUAA
Long non-coding RNA from Dicentrarchus labrax (European seabass), 1105 nucleotides. RefSeq lists it as uncharacterized. NCBI's taxonomy places the organism in Eukaryota, Metazoa, Chordata, Actinopteri, Moronidae. The record is from RefSeq and is a predicted model, not a curated record. The transcript has 3 exons.